RNAcentral lists this ribosomal RNA (253 nucleotides) under uncultured bacterium. RNAcentral's name for it is "partial 16S ribosomal RNA". It matches the Rfam family "Bacterial small subunit ribosomal RNA", at positions 524 to 776 of the family's 1533-position model. The record is from RNAcentral.
UACGGGGGGGGCAAGCGUUGUUCGGAAUUACUGGGCGUAAAGGGCUCGUAGGUGGCCAACUAAGUCAGACGUGAAAUCCCCAGGCUCAACUUGGGAACUGCGUCUGAUACUGGAUGGCUUGAAUCCGGGAGAGGGAUGUGGAAUUCCAGGUGUAGCGGUGAAAUGCGUAGAUAUCUGGAGGAACACCGGUGGCGAAGGCGGCAUCCUGGACCGGUAUUGACGCUGAGGCGCGAAAGCCAGGGGAGCAAACGGG